RNAcentral lists this ribosomal RNA (403 nucleotides) under Enterococcus sp. ZYQ-2015-2. Its description in RNAcentral is "bacterial SSU rRNA". It matches the Rfam family "Bacterial small subunit ribosomal RNA", at positions 987 to 1393 of the family's 1533-position model. The record is from RNAcentral. Lineage: Bacteria; Bacillati; Bacillota; Bacilli; Lactobacillales; Enterococcaceae.
UUCGUUUGACCUCUAGAGAAGAGCUUUCCCUUCGGGGACAAAGUGACAGGUGGUGCAUGGUUGUCGUCAGCUCGUGUCGUGAGAUGUUGGGUUAAGUCCCGCAACGAGCGCAACCCUUAUUGUUAGUUGCCAUCAUUUAGUUGGGCACUCUAGCGAGACUGCCGGUGACAAACCGGAGGAAGGUGGGGAUGACGUCAAAUCAUCAUGCCCCUUAUGACCUGGGCUACACACGUGCUACAAUGGGAAGUACAACGAGUCGCUAGACCGCGAGGUCAUGCAAAUCUCUUAAAGCUUCUCUCAGUUCGGAUUGCAGGCUGCAACUCGCCUGCAUGAAGCCGGAAUCGCUAGUAAUCGCGGAUCAGCACGCCGCGGUGAAUACGUUCCCGGGUCUGUACCACACCGA